UGGUGCAUGGCCGUCGUCAGUUCGUACUGUGAAGCAUCCUGUUAAGUCAGGCAACGAGCGAGACCCACGCCCACAGUUGCCAGCGUACUCUCCGGAGUGACGGGUACACUGUGGGGACCGCCGCUGCUAAAGCGGAGGAAGGAAUGGGCAACGGUAGGUCAGUAUGCCCCGAAUAUCCCGGGCUACACGCGAGCUACAAUGGUUGGUACAAUGGGUAUCUACCCCGAAAGGGGACGGAAAUCUCCUUAAAACCAAUCUUAGUUCGGAUUGAGGGCUGCAACUCGCCCUCAUGAAGCUGGAAUCCGUAGUAAUCGCGUUUCAACAGAACGCGGUGAAUACGUCCCUGCUCCUU
This 352-nucleotide ribosomal RNA is filed under the name uncultured Methanosaeta sp. RNAcentral's name for it is "bacterial SSU rRNA". It matches the Rfam family "Archaeal small subunit ribosomal RNA", at positions 988 to 1338 of the family's 1478-position model. Lineage: Archaea; Methanobacteriati; Methanobacteriota; Methanomicrobia; Methanotrichales; Methanotrichaceae. The record is from RNAcentral.